RNAcentral lists this ribosomal RNA (465 nucleotides) under Paenibacillus mobilis. RNAcentral's name for it is "bacterial SSU rRNA". Lineage: Bacteria; Bacillati; Bacillota; Bacilli; Caryophanales; Paenibacillaceae. The record is from RNAcentral.
CUACGGGGWGGCWGCAGUAGGGAAUCUUCCGCAAUGGGCGAAAGCCUGACGGAGCAAUGCCGCGUGAGUGAUGAAGGUUUUCGGAUCGUAAAGCUCUGUUGCCAGGGAAGAACGCUUGGGAGAGUAACUGCUCUCAAGGUGACGGUACCUGAGAAGAAAGCCCCGGCUAACUACGUGCCAGCAGCCGCGGUAAUACGUAGGGGGCAAGCGUUGUCCGGAAUUAUUGGGCGUAAAGCGCGCGCAGGCGGUCAUUUAAGUCUGGUGUUUAAUCCCGGGGCUCAACCCCGGAUCGCACUGGAAACUGGGUGACUUGAGUGCAGAAGAGGAGAGUGGAAUUCCACGUGUAGCGGUGAAAUGCGUAGAUAUGUGGAGGAACACCAGUGGCGAAGGCGACUCUCUGGGCUGUAACUGACGCUGAGGCGCGAAAGCGUGGGGAGCAAACAGGAUUAGAUACCCCAGUAGUCA